Scaptodrosophila lebanonensis is the source of this 2000-nucleotide long non-coding RNA. RefSeq lists it as uncharacterized. Lineage: Eukaryota; Metazoa; Arthropoda; Insecta; Diptera; Drosophilidae. The transcript is spliced from 2 exons. The record is from RefSeq and is a predicted model, not a curated record.
ACAGUGGCAUAUGCACAUCGGCAAAUGUUCAUUAUUAUUAUACAAGUAGCAAUUCAAAAUUUAACAGUGGUACUAGCGAAGCUUCAAACCACUUUGGUAAAGGCAUCAAGGUCUUGUUAACACUGAUAUGCAUUUGACACAAAGCUCUGUUAAGCUUGUCAGACAGCUGUCAAUAGUUGAAACAUAGGCUACGAAUUUAAUUACUUCCUGCACUCGACCUCUUUCUGUUCUGACCGCUGGCACGAUCAGUUGUGCUUUAUUUAGCUGCAAUAAAUUUUGUUUAAAUUAUUAAAAGUGAAACACGUGUAUAUUUUCGUGUGCAAAUCGUGCUAUUGAGAAGCCAUCCUCAAGGAGGCUUUAUUAAAACCUUGUAAGAUCACCAUUUCACAGCGUUUAUCUGUUCCAUUUUGGAUUAUUUUUUGCUUCAAAGAAUAUUGUUGUAUGGCGACAUGAGCUAUUGUCUUGGUCGGCUCAUCCACAAUUAAACGUUGGAUUCAUCCCGUCAGAUAAUCAGGCGAAGCUGGAAUUUGAAUGCAGAAAUUAGCGACAAGGCAGAAUUUCAAUAGGCAGCAAACGUAGCAGCAGCAGCGGCGGAGAGAACUCGACUUUUACAAAGACUCCAGUACCCUCCAAAAACCAGGAGAAAGAGCCACAUAUACUCGUAUAUGUGUACUAACGUUAACGAAUUUGGUUUCUUUAAAAUUCAGGCAGAAAUAUCAAUAUUACGAAUUUUUGCAUGCUUAACCUAAAAGCAGAGACCCUGUGCUUACAAAUUGCAUGUACAGCGCAAGUACAAAGUCCAACUUUAUUGGCAUAAUUUUAUCUAAGCAUCAGCUAUUAAUAGCAAUUGUUUAAAGUAACUGUAUUUUGGUUUGUGCAAAAGCAAAAGUUUUUCUUUAUCAAAAGUUCAAAAGUAAGAGAGCCUCUUACAUAGGCAUAUAAUUAAUUCAUACAUACAUAUAUAUUAGAGCAGGCAUUUGCAACUCAAUAAGUGCUGAGUUUGGAAAUAUUAAUAUCUUAAUUUUUUUUGUUUUUUUUUUAUUGGAGAUCGAAAGUGUUGAAAUAGUACUGCUUGUAUAAAUUAAUUUUGAUCCCAUACUAACAUACACAGCAACAUCUGGAAACCAUGGAGGCCUUCAUCGGAUUUUUCAGAGGGUGAGUCAAACUUGCAUAUCUAUUUCUUGCUUAUUUUCGAUCAUCAAGUGUACAGGUUAAUAAGUAAAUUUCAAAUAUAUAAAAGUACGGCUUUAAAGUUUUGGGGUCAAUGCCCUUGAAAGCUUUUCGUCAACGAUUAAACAUAUGAUGCCCAGCAUCACAGCUUUUUAGUUUCAAAGUUUGUUUUGAUUUUUAUUGCUAAUUGCUGAUACAGUUCGGUAUAACUGUUUUACUAGCGACUGAUAAUAAUAUUUUUAUUUUUGCUCUCGAUGCACUUAUGCUUAUUACUAGAUAUAUUUAUGCAUGAAUUAUGGCUUUUUCUUUAAACCGGUAUACUCUGAUAUCAUUUUUCAUUGUUUUGAGGAAACAAACUUAUAUCGCAACUAUGAAUUACUCUUGCUUAUGCAGAAUAACUUUGGUUUAUCAACUCUUAUGUGCUAUUGAUGAAUAUUAACCUUUAAUUUUAGUUUGAUUAUGGUUUUCUUUUAUUUACGUUAUGAUUACUUGAAUUUUAUAAAUGGAAAAGAAUGAAGUUUAUUUGGAAUUUAGUAUUUUUCAUUAUAUAUUGAAUAAAAUAACUAUGACUUUGUGAAUUUAAAUAUAUUUUUCCUAAUGUAAAGGGAUAAGGCAGGCGAAGUAGCCUCUUCUUGGGAUUUUUCUUAAAAUAACGCACAAUGGAAAAAUCAUUGGUAGGGUGGGUAGAGAGCGUAGCAACCACACCAUCUGGUUAGCUUUGAAGAAGGUAUUGCUGUUUCUUAAUACAUUUUCCGAUUCUUUUCAUUGUCUUUCUUUUUUCUUUCUUUCACUGUUAGCCUAUUGCAAGUGCCGCCCCAACUAUCUUUUUU